CCUACGGGAGGCAGCAGUGAGGAAUAUUGGGCACUGGACGCAAGUCUGAACCAGCCAUGCCGCGUGCAGGAAGACGGCUCUAUGGGUUGUAAACUGCGUUUGUACGAGGGUAAAUCCCGAUACGUGUAUCGGGUUGAAAGUAUCGUACGAAUAAGGAUCGGCUAACUUCGUGCCAGCAUCCGCGGUAAUACGGAGGAUUCAAGCGUUAUACGGAUUUGUUGGGUUUAAAGGGUGCGUAGGCGGUUCGUUAAGUUAGAGGUGAAAUCCCGGGGCUCAACUGCGGCACGGCAUUGGAUACUGUCAGGCUAGAGUGUAGAUGCGGUAGGCGGAAUGUAUGGUGUAGCGGUGAAAUGCAUAGAGAUCAUACAGAACACCGAUUGCGAAGGCAGCUUACCAAACUACGACUGACGUUGAGGCACGAAAGCGUGGGGAGCAAACAGGAUUAGAUACCCGUGUAGUC
This 460-nucleotide ribosomal RNA is filed under the name uncultured bacterium. RNAcentral describes it as "partial 16S ribosomal RNA". It matches the Rfam family "Bacterial small subunit ribosomal RNA", at positions 338 to 795 of the family's 1533-position model. The record is from RNAcentral.